This is a non-coding RNA of Odocoileus virginianus texanus, 193 nucleotides long. Lineage: Eukaryota; Metazoa; Chordata; Mammalia; Artiodactyla; Cervidae. The record is from RefSeq and is a predicted model, not a curated record.
UGGUAACUCAUGCUGGCGAGGGAUGAGAGGCAGCCAAGAAGCAGAUCCCCAAACAAGAGAGGAGCCGUACCUGGCUAUCAGCAUCUUGAGUCUCCAAGCUUUUGUUGAUGCCUCCCAGGAUAAGGAGGCUGUGUUACCAAAAAUGCGGUCCAGAGACUCAUCGCUUUAAAGCCAGUACUCCAGAGGCAAGGUU